AUGGGCGGCAGUGGCACCUUGGGCAGGUCGGGGAUGGACGGCAUAGGCGGCAGCGGCAAGUCAGGUAUGCCAGGGACGGACGGCAUUGGCAACGUCGGCACCCCUGGCACUGUGGGAACCGUCGGCACACUCGGCGCAGUGGGCACUGUCGGCACGGCGGCGCCAGGUACUGCCGGCAGCGGCACAGUCGGCACGCCUGGCAGGGUGGGAACUGCCGGGAUGGUUGGCACGGCGGCGCCAGGUACUGGUACUGUCGGCACACCUGGCACCGUGGGCACCGUCGGUACGCCCGGCACGGUGGGAAUUGUCGGCACCGUCGGGACGCCUGGCACGGUGGGCACCGUGGGAACGACGCCGCCUGGCACGGCGGGGACUGUAGGGACGACGGGCACGGGGGGCAGCAGCGGCGUGGGCAAGGCCGGAACGUCGGCGAGGAGGCGCGCGGCAUGGCACGUGCUGAGCAUGACGGCCAUGACGAGCGCCAUGGCCACGAAGCUCGUCGACGUGGAAGCCAUGGGCGCGCGCUCGUGA
This 531-nucleotide ribosomal RNA is filed under the name Triticum aestivum (bread wheat). RNAcentral describes it as "partial small subunit ribosomal RNA". The record is from RNAcentral. Lineage: Eukaryota; Viridiplantae; Streptophyta; Magnoliopsida; Poales; Poaceae.